Molecule: unclassified non-coding RNA, 253 nt
Filed under: Patescibacteria group bacterium
Lineage: Bacteria
Description: contains 16S-23S intergenic spacer region
Rfam family: Bacterial small subunit ribosomal RNA
Source: RNAcentral
CACAGAGACCACGAGCGUUGACCGGAUUUAUUGGGCGUAAAGCGUGCGCAGGCGGUUUCGUAAGUCAUUCGUUAAAUCUUCAGGCUCAACCUGGAGGCUGCGAGUGAUACUAUGAGACUAGAGGACGGGAGAGGUCAGCGGAAUGCCCGGUGUAGGGGUAAAAUCCGUUAAGAUCGGGUAGAACACCAAAUGCGAAAGCAGCUGACUGGAACGCUCCUGACGCUGAUGCACGAAAGCAUGGGUAGCGAAUGGG